This is a non-coding RNA of Doryrhamphus excisus (bluestripe pipefish), 979 nucleotides long. The record is from RefSeq and is a predicted model, not a curated record. Lineage: Eukaryota; Metazoa; Chordata; Actinopteri; Syngnathiformes; Syngnathidae.
UUGACCACCGUGCCGGCCAUAAAAAAAAAAAUCUCACCAUCUUUGAAUUCGGGAGUCUCUACGUGACUGUCAGUGCUGCUGCCACUUUCCGAAGCCACCGAACAUCGCUCGCCGACGUCCCCCUGUUAGCAUUUAGCCUGUUAGCAUUUAGCCGCAAUAUGAUACAUUGAAACCACCAACAAACUAAACAAGCUAACGUUUUUACCUUAGUGCAAAUGAGCCUGGGGGAGUCGCAAGCCGAAUGCUGCACAUCGCCGUUCUCUGUCGGCUUGGGGCUGAUCUCCUGGAUGACCUAACGGACCAAAAAAAGCCCCAGCACGAUGGCCUCCCCUCCGACGGGCACGAUCUUCAGCUUGUGCUCCUUCCUCUUGAGCUGCUUCUCCUUGUAGGUGACGCUGCAGCCCAGCAGACUCACGUCCAGCAAUGGCGUCUGUUCCUUUGAGCUCUUGUAGCACUGGGAAGCAUCAGAUGAGUGAGUGACACAUCACGAAAAUACGAACUCGUCGAGAUUUUAGAUCGUUUACCAGUAAGCGAUGCUCUCUGAUGACACACAGCUGCUUGGCCCACUGGCCCAGCCACUUCUUCCUCCACAGGAAAGCGCAGAUGCGAGCGUCCUUCAUCAGUUCGAUGGACGCCUCGGUGGACGGCCACUGGUGCUGCGCCGACUUGCCCCUCGUCACUUCCUCCUCGUCGUAGGACUCGUAUGAGCUGCUGACCGCCUCGCCGUCCUCUGUGAGUAUCUCUCCCAAGGCUUUGGCAUACAUUCCCCCGGAAGAUCACAGGAAUGGGAGCCGGAACAGAUGAGCAGAGGAGGGACUAAUAUCAUACAAACCAAAACCAUUGGGGGAGGUGAGUUAUAAAAGUGGAGAGGUUUUAUAAAGUUGAAGUACUAGAUCUAUUUUAUAUAUUUAUAUAUAUGUAUAAAAAAGUUCAGAGUUGCUGUAAUUAGGUCGGGUAUUUUUUGAUGUUGCUAACAUGC